UUCUGUCCUUGAAUAGCUCAU
Molecule: non-coding RNA, 21 nt
Filed under: Caenorhabditis elegans
Lineage: Eukaryota; Metazoa; Nematoda; Chromadorea; Rhabditida; Rhabditidae
Source: RNAcentral